This is a long non-coding RNA of Carassius auratus (goldfish), 3108 nucleotides long. RefSeq lists it as uncharacterized. The record is from RefSeq and is a predicted model, not a curated record. NCBI's taxonomy places the organism in Eukaryota, Metazoa, Chordata, Actinopteri, Cypriniformes, Cyprinidae. The transcript has 4 exons.
UUGAGUAUUAGGCCGGCGACACACUGGAUGCGCGGUGCAAGCGUCUCAGCUGCGUGGCUGUUUUUAAUUUGGCUCAACAGGUUAGAGCCGCGCGGACAACGUGUGCAUGCAAGAGAGUUUGUUGUCAUGUGCAUCCUCUCCACCUAUAAAAUCCCCCUGAAGCUCAGACGGCACAACAUCAGCAGAGAUCUGUCGUGAUGAAUGUUUCUUCUCUUCAGCUCAACACAAGGGUUCUUCAUAACCAGUGUGUUGGUUCUUGAAACACAUCUUCAGAUGCACCUGAACACAUCAUCAGUGAUGUUACCGGAGGUCCUCGGGUGUUUCGGGUCUUUCUUCAUCAGACACCCUCGCCCAGGUGACCCAGACUGUGACUUGUGUUCAGGAAGCACUCGCUUGCCCCCAUGGUGCUCCUCUACGGAUCCAGAGCCAUCUCGAGGCUUUCUCGGCUGCGUCUGUGAUGUUCUUGGUGGCACUGCACUGGUCCAGGCCCCCUUCUACUCAUCCUUCCUUCCUCCACGACACCUCUGACCUCUUCCUGUAUUCGGCUGCGUUUCUCCUUCCAUUCAAUUCUUUAUGUCGAGGAGGUGUUGCUCUGCUCCCACAAGCUCUUUGUGCCGCAGACGUGUCUGUUCAUCCAGCCUCCAGCGCUCCACUUUCUCCCUGUCUUCACCAGCUCUCCUGCCUGGGACACCUCUGGGUCGUUGGAGUCUCUAUACAUCAGCACCUCGUGUGCCCGAGUCACUUUAAACUCCUCUCCCAGGGAUUUUAGAGGCAGCCGGAGCAUUAUGGUGUUUUCAUAGAGGGCAAUGUUGCUGAGGCUCCUGGGAACCUAACCGUCUCCUGAGAAAGCUGCUGACCUUUCUUUCCAAGCUCUCCACUGUAGAAAUGGGAACCUCAUACACACGUAGUUGAAUAUACUCUGCAUUAGUUGGACACCCAGCAGAAAGAUGGAAAUUGAGUAAACACGUGGAGACUGAAAAGAGAUGAAGACAAAAAGCAGUGGAAACAUGGAGAUUGUGAAGAUCAUCAGAUGGAGCAGCUUCAGUGAUUUAAGACCAGACUUCUCUGAUCCACACACACAUGUGAAGAGCUGCUCUCAUCAAACACAGAAGAUCAGACAUGAUGAUGCAAGAACAUUAAAGUCUCUUCUGGACUCUCCAGCUCCUGCAGCAUUCUUCUCUUUAUUAUUUUAUGAAGCAUAUAUUGUACUUGUUUUCUGCAAUUCAGUAUAUAUAUUGCACUGCAUUGCAUUCAAGGAAAGUUUAACACUUCUGAACACUUUUCAAACAAAUAUGAAUAAAGUCCUUGUGUUUUCUUUCUCUCUCUUUAAGAUCAAAGUUCAGAUAUAAUAUAUGAAAAUGUGUUUUUAUUGAGUCACGUAUGAUCCCUCUCUGUCUCAAAUACAUAUUUAGCAGCUAGUGUGACAGUCAUCUCAUUCUCUCCAAGUAUAUAGAGUAGUUUCUCUGAGUCGUUUAGAGACAAGAAUGAAGGAUUCAAAGCGUUUCUCUUGUAGUGCUGUAUUUGGGACAGACCAGAAGGAAGUGUUUCUCAUCCUCUGUUUGAUUCAGCUCACAGUGUUUGCACAGUCUCUCUUCUCUCGGUAGACAGGAUCUUUUAUAUCUACCAAUCUCUAUCUCCAAAUCAUGAUAACUGAGUCUAUAUUUGGGAAGGAUUUGUCUUUCUUUUAAUUGCUUGAGUGAUAAGUAGUUUGCCAGUUUUGUGGUUCUGUUUAGCGCAGAAUAACACUGGAGUUUGGUUUGGAGCUCAAAUUCAUUUUUUAAUUUUUCUUCAUAAUUAUACUUGAGAUUUGUGUCAGUUUCUGAAUGUUGGGUUUGUGAUUGGAGUCAGACUCAGUUUGGGUGUCCUUCAUCAGUUCUGAAAUAUCAUAAUCUUAGUUUUUGGGAUGUUGAUGUCUAAGGCCCAAUCCUGGCAGUAUUUAGUUAAAAUGUCGAGGUUGUUCUGAAGACCUUCUGGUGUUUUAGACAGAAUUAGUAAGUAUUUGACCUCUGUGUGGUGUAAUUGUAGUCCUGGACUGUUCGACUGGUCCAGUAGAUCUGCCAGUUCAUUGAUAUAUAGAUAUAUGUUAAAUAAAGUCUCACUCCUCGCUGUUGAGGAAAAUAGUCUGUCCAUUGCUGGCCAAUUUUUACUGCACAUUUAUUUUGGUUAUACAUGUUUUUAAUUAAGUCAUAUAUUUUACCCCCUAUGCCACUUUCAAUGAUUUUAUAAAACAGUCCAUUAUGCCAGAUGGAGUCAAAAGCCUUCUUAAAAUCUGCAAAUAUUUUCCCAUCUUUCUUCUGGUGUACAUUUCCUUUUUUUUAGCGUGUGUAGUGUGUGAAUAUGUUUGGUUUUGAUUAAUUUCUUCUUGUAAAGUGUGGAAUACUUCAUCGUCGUAGUAUGGGGAAUCUGAUGGAGGAAUAUAAAUUCCACAGAUAAAAAGGUCUUUAUAUAGAAUUUCAAAGCUUUUAUCCAAUUAUAACCAGAUGUGAUUUUUGCCUUUCUGUAAUUUUUUAUUCAUAUGACUAAACCUCCAGAAUCUCUACCACGGUGUACUGAGCUGAGUUUCCACGAGGGCACUAUGAUUUCAGAGUAACGUGAAGGACACUGAUCGGACACAUCGGAUCUACACAUCACUCUCUCUCAUAUGCAGGGAUCUAAUGUCUCUGGAUAAGAUCAGACAUGAGCUGCUCAUGUCAGGCAACACAAAUGCUGUCGAAACCCUUUUGAUCUGACUAACACAAGGGGAAAAUGAGAAUGAGAGAACUAGACAGUUGAGUUUGUGAUUCAGUGAAGUAUCAGUUUUACAGCAGAGAUUAUCACAUGACCAUCUAUAUCAUAUCAGAAUUUAGAAGAGGUUUAUUUAAAUGAAAACUGUACAUUGAGUGAUAAAUACUAUAUUUUGAUCAGCUUCAAGAUACUAAAAAGAUGAUGCAUCUGAGAGUUUUGUGACCUCACUUUAAUUUAAAGCUCAUUUUAAUAUGUUUUUCUACAACAAUAACUAUAUCACUACCAUUCCAAUCAUGUGAUUAUUUGUGGUUAGUUGUUUACAGUAAGGCUGUAACUGUUCAUCUGGUUAUGGAACCAAACAGACUAAUGACUAAUGAUUUGUUA